GACGGUAUGGCCGAGUGGUCUAAGGCGCCAGACUUGAAAUCUGGUUCCCUAUGGGAGCGCAGGUUCGAACCCUGCUACCGUCG
Molecule: non-coding RNA, 83 nt
Organism: Geosiphon pyriformis
Lineage: Eukaryota; Fungi; Glomeromycota; Glomeromycetes; Archaeosporales; Geosiphonaceae
Source: the annotation of a GenBank genome assembly